This is a long non-coding RNA of Pristis pectinata (smalltooth sawfish), 403 nucleotides long. RefSeq lists it as uncharacterized. The transcript is spliced from 3 exons. The record is from RefSeq and is a predicted model, not a curated record. Lineage: Eukaryota; Metazoa; Chordata; Chondrichthyes; Rhinopristiformes; Pristidae.
UCUUAAUCGUUCAUUAAGUAUUUUUUUUUGCAGAGUGAACAUACACACGAGAGACAAAAGCUCAUGCAAUGUGCAUCUAGCUUAUUCAAGUGCUCCACAUUUUGUUCUUUGUUUGACUGAGUUAGUGACAAAUGUUGUUCAUCAUUGGUCCAGCUUCUAUCAGUGAGGCAGAAAAUGAGCAAGAUGGAGAAGUUGAAUCAUCACCAUAUUAACUGGGAUUGGAGAAAGGUCACUGGAUUCACAGAACAUUUCAGAUUCAACCAGAAACCCUUGGUAUUGAAGACGAGAUGAAACCAGGAGCUGAAUAGGCCCUUGCAAAGGGAGGAUCUGACUGAAUUAACUGAUAAUUCUAUGAAAGAGAAAGUGGUUGCAAGUAAUGAAACAAAACAUGUAAAACCCUAAA